ACUUGAAGAAGUAGACCAGUUCUCUCGCAUGUUCCAGUCCCUUUGUCGAGUAACCGAAGAACAAAACAUUGAGGUUUCUUUGAACAUGACAAUACGGAAGGCAAAUGGAAGUGCGGGAGUGGACAAGAAAGGAAAGGGCCCAACAUGAUUGUUGGUUACAUUUCGUUAGGACGCAUCACUACCACCUUUGAUGUACAAUAUUUGUUGUGUUA
RNAcentral lists this long non-coding RNA (212 nucleotides) under Olea europaea (common olive). RNAcentral's name for it is "long non-coding RNA (OEUR_LNC015082)". The record is from RNAcentral. Lineage: Eukaryota; Viridiplantae; Streptophyta; Magnoliopsida; Lamiales; Oleaceae.